This 86-nucleotide small nucleolar RNA is filed under the name Otolemur garnettii (small-eared galago). RNAcentral describes it as "Small nucleolar RNA U13". It matches the Rfam family "Small nucleolar RNA U13". Lineage: Eukaryota; Metazoa; Chordata; Mammalia; Primates; Galagidae. The record is from Rfam by way of RNAcentral.
AUCCUUUUGUAGUUCAAAUGCAUGAGGAUUGGGUUUUCACCCUCCCUCAAACCCUGUCAUCAGGUCAGCACGUUACUAGUCCAAUG